CAGAGUUUGAUCCUGGCUCAGGACGAACGCUGGCGGCGUGCUUAACACAUGCAAGUCGAACGAAGAGCGAUGGAAGCUUGCUUCUAUCAAUCUUAGUGGCGAACGGGUGAGUAACGCGUAAUCAACCUGCCCUUCAGAGGGGGACAACAGUUGGAAACGACUGCUAAUACCGCAUACGAUCURACCUCGGCAUCGAGGAURGAUGAAAGGUGGCCUCUAUUUAUAAGCUAUCACUGAAGGAGGGGAUUGCGUCUGAUUAGCUAGUUGGAGGGGUAACGGCCCACCAAGGCGAUGAUCAGUAGCCGGUCUGAGAGGAUGAACGGCCACAUUGGGACUGAGACACGGCCCAGACUCCUACGGGAGGCAGCAGUGGGGAAUCUUCCGCAAUGGACGAAAGUCUGACGGAGCAACGCCGCGUGAGUGAUGACGGCCUUCGGGUUGUAAAGCUCUGUUAAUCGGGACAWDRGCCUUCUUG
This 475-nucleotide ribosomal RNA is filed under the name Veillonella sp. oral clone R43. RNAcentral describes it as "bacterial SSU rRNA". It matches the Rfam family "Bacterial small subunit ribosomal RNA", at positions 8 to 459 of the family's 1533-position model. Lineage: Bacteria; Bacillati; Bacillota; Negativicutes; Veillonellales; Veillonellaceae. The record is from RNAcentral.